Molecule: ribosomal RNA, 253 nt
Filed under: uncultured bacterium
Lineage: Bacteria
Description: partial 16S ribosomal RNA
Rfam family: Bacterial small subunit ribosomal RNA
Source: RNAcentral
UACGUAGGUGGCAAGCGUUGUUCGGAGUUACUGGGCGUAAAGGGUGCGUAGGCGGUUGUUUAAGUUUGGUGUGAAAUCUCCCGGCUCAACUGGGAGGGUGCGCCGAAUACUGAAUGACUAGAGUGCGGGAGAGGAGAGUGGAAUUCCUGGUGUAGCGGUGAAAUGCGUAGAUAUCAGGAGGAACACCGGUGGUGUAGACGGCUCUCUGGACCGUAACUGACGCUGAGGCACGAAAGCGUGGGUAGCAAACAGG